RNAcentral lists this ribosomal RNA (395 nucleotides) under uncultured bacterium. RNAcentral describes it as "partial 16S ribosomal RNA". It matches the Rfam family "Bacterial small subunit ribosomal RNA", at positions 523 to 918 of the family's 1533-position model. The record is from RNAcentral.
AUACGUAGGGUGCAAGCGUUAAUCGGAAUUACUGGGCGUAAAGCGUGCGCAGGCGGUUUUGUAAGACAGUGGUGAAAUCCCCGGGCUCAACCUGGGAACUGCCAUUGUGACUGCAAGGCUGGAGUGCGGCAGAGGGGGAUGGAAUUCCGCGUGUAGCAGUGAAAUGCGUAGAUAUGCGGAGGAACACCGAUGGCGAAGGCAAUCCCCUGGGCCUGCACUGACGCUCAUGCACGAAAGCGUGGGGAGCAAACAGGAUUAGAUACCCUGGUAGUCCACGCCCUAAACGAUGUCAACUGGUUGUUGGGGAUUUAUUUUCUCAGUAACGAAGCUAACGCGUGAAGUUGACCGCCUGGGGAGUACGGUCGCAAGACUGAAACUCAAAUGAAUCGACGGGG